Long non-coding RNA from Mus musculus (house mouse), 1213 nucleotides. RefSeq annotates it as predicted gene, 33200. The transcript is spliced from 3 exons. Lineage: Eukaryota; Metazoa; Chordata; Mammalia; Rodentia; Muridae. The record is from RefSeq and is a predicted model, not a curated record.
UUGGCUGGCCCAGCCCUCCAGGAAAAUAGAACUCAUACCCUCAUUUGGGGGUCCUUAAGCCUUUGGUGUGCCCUGACCCCGGCCCUUUCAUAUUCCCGGCCUCUUGUUUCUUGUGCCAGAACUGGGUGGGAACCGUGUCAGGAAUCGUCCUGAACGCGGCAGAUAACCCAGCAGCGACGUUCAUUCCAACUCAGAUUUGCUCCUGCUCACUGUACAGAUGACGACACUGAGGCCAGGUCCGAAGGGACUUCCCCCAGCUUGGACAUCUCGGGAUAGAGUCCAGCUUUGUUGUCAACAUCAGUGAUCUGGUUCCAGACAUGUCCACGGUCUCCACUGUGCACCUAACUGCCACAUCCAGCAGUUCCAGCUCCUGGGAGCUUUCUGGGGUGAUAGCCUGGGUUCGGAACUGCAUCUGUGUUCUCAUUCCGACGUCUACAACAGCUAUGCAUGAAUGUUUUAUUUGAGGACCCAAAGAGAUCACUCAUGGGGUACAGUGCUGAGUUCCAUCUCUGGAACCGUAUAAAGGUGGAUUGAGAGACUCAAUGCCUCAGAGUUCUGCUUUGAUAACCACACACGCAUCACCGUGUGUUAGCCCCGCCCCCACACUCAUAAUUUUUAAAUUUUAAUAAUCUAAGUAAUACAUAGCACACAAAGUGGGACUGCAUCUUACUUGAAAUUCUUUCUUUCAAUAUAUGUUUUUGAAGAAGUAGACAGAGGGGUUGAUGAGAUGUAAAGGCAGUUGUGGCCAAGCCUGAAGACCUGAAUUUGACACCUGGAACCCUUAAAGUAGGAGGAGAGAACUGGCACCCAGAGUCAUCACCUGGCCUCCAUGUGUGCUCCAUAGUAUGUGCACCCACCCAUGUACACACACCCACAAAUAUAUGCAUUUUUAAACUAAAAAUAGCACCACAAGAAGACCUACUGUGUCAACUCACCUGGACCCAGGAGAACUCUCAGACACUGAACCACCAACCAAAGAGCACGCACAGGCUGGACCUACACAGUUGCCACUGGAGCCCCUUCCCCUAGCUGGGCUGCCUGGUUGGGCCUCAGGAGAGGAUGCGCUUAGCCUGCUGGGACUAGAUGUCCCAGAGUAGGCUGGUACCCAAGGGAGCAUCUCCUUCUCUUGAGAAGGGGAAGGAUAAUGGGGCAAGGAAUUUGUAAGGGCAGAACUAGGAGGAAGGGAGGGAGGGGCUGCAGUUGGGAUGUAAAU